Molecule: ribosomal RNA, 602 nt
Filed under: Saccharospirillum salsuginis
Lineage: Bacteria; Pseudomonadati; Pseudomonadota; Gammaproteobacteria; Oceanospirillales; Saccharospirillaceae
Description: bacterial SSU rRNA
Rfam family: Bacterial small subunit ribosomal RNA
Source: RNAcentral
CGGUAACGACACUAGCUUGCUAGUGGUCGACGAGUGGCGGACGGGUGAGUAACGCGUAGGAAUCUACCUAGUAGUGGGGGAUAGCCAAGGGAAACUUUGGGUAAUACCGCAUACGAUCUAAGGAUGAAAGGGGGCCUCUCUUUGAAGCUCUCGCUAUUAGAUGAGCCUGCGUAAGAUUAGCUUGUUGGUGGGGUAAUGGCCCACCAAGGCGACGAUCUUUAGCUGGUCUGAGAGGAUGAUCAGUCACACUGGAACUGAGACACGGUCCAGACUCCUACGGGAGGCAGCAGUCGGGAAUAUUGGACAAUGGGGGAAACCCUGAUCCAGCCAUGCCGCGUGUGUGAAGAAGGCCCUAGGGUUGUAAAGCACUUUUAGUAGUGAGGAAGGCUCAGUAGUUAAUACCUACUGGGAUUGACGUUAGCUACAGAAAAAGCACCGGCUAAUUUCGUGCCAGCAGCCGCGGUAAUACGAAAGGUGCAAGCGUUAAUCGGAAUUACUGGGCGUAAAGCGCGCGUAGGCGGCUUGGUAAGUUGGAUGUGAAAGCCCCGGGCUCAACCUGGGAACUGCAUCCAAAACUGCCUAGCUAGAGUAUGGUAGAGGAU